UUCCAGAUGUAUUUUCUUUCUUUUUGUUUUUUAUAAAACUUAGCUUUUUCAAGAACAGAACAGAAUUGUUUUUUCUGUGUCCUAAGAGGUUUGUGCAUGUUGUUUAAUUAGCUGGGGGCAACAGCUGAUUUCCUUUGUUUUUCUUUCUCAGCUCUUCCCCCCGGGGAGGGGGUGGGGGGGCGGUGAAAGUGCUUGGGGGUACCCCACAGGAAAGAAUUCCCAAGUGUGCCUUUCUGGUUUCUCAAAAAAGGGGUUGCACUUGGGUGGUGGCAGCAUCUACCCAGCCAAGAUCAGAGAAAAACUGUAACCUUGGAAGUUUAAUACCAGCCUGGAGUGGCCAGUAUUAAUUUUUAGAGUAUUUGUGGGCCCCCACCUUCUGCACUUGAAGUGCCAGAGUGGAGAAUCAGCUUUGACAGGGGGAGAGGGCACCUAUACUGACUCUGGCCACUAGGCCAGGGUGCCCUGAGGUUAAGGGCAGUCAGUUGGACUUCGCCAUGGGGCUGCAAUGCCCUUGCCCCACUCAAAAGGGAGAUGGGGUGUACUCACCCCGCAACAUCUUGCUCUGUGUCCAUUCAGCUCCCUGAUGCUGUUCUUCUCAUACUCUGAAUUCAGCUUCCUAAUAACUCCCUCUUCUCACAGGGAUCCUGCUGCUGCCACUCCUCUCUGCUCACCUCUCCUCUAACUGCUCAAAUCUAAUUGUCAUGAAACCUUGUGAUAUUCCACCCAGAACUAUUAAAAAAAAGUUCACUGCCCAGAAGAGUCAGCUUGCUGUUCAGAUACCCAUCCAUGUGUAUCCUGUUGCUUAUUGACUGACCUGGCCAAAGCAUUCGAGAAGAGGAUGUAAAGGAAAUUGGCCUUCCACUUUCAUUUCUUUGUAGAUGCUUUGUCUGCCUCGCCUGCUAUGUUCCUGAAUUCCUGCCAUGGCUUGGCUCAUGCAGUUGUAUACUGAGCUACAUUUUAAGGAAAUUGCUAAUGAAACACGUCCUUUUCGUGAAGUAAAAUAUGGGUUAAAAACGCCAUUCUGUGGUCAGGAAACUGAACUGGGAUUUCUUUUCAACCACACCAAUAUUGGACACACCAAUAAGUACACACCCAGAAUUUUAAUGCAGAUCAGAUUGGUAGCUUGUCUUUGAAAAAGAAAUUAAAACAUACCAACUUACUGUACAAUGCAAUUAAUUUAUUAAAAGUGACAACCAUAUUUUAUUGUCUUGAUAACUAAAUGUAAGAUUCAAGUUAUCCUUGGAAAAGUCAUUUAAAAAAAUUUCUAGUGUGGAAAGUUGUUGGCUUGGUUAAGUCUAACUUGCCACUUAUAUGCAUACAAUAACAUUUAAAGUCUUUGGCUCCCAAAAGCAGCCUUACCAUGAAGGAGCCGACUUAAAUACCUUCUCUAUUAAUAGAUGCAACUUCCAUGAGGCAAACCUGCAUGCUCGCGCUCUCUCUCACUCUCUCUCUGAAGCAUCCUGUUAUAAAGAAAGAAACUUUAUUUAAAGAAUAAACUUCCAGUUAGGUUAAAAAAAAGUUUUUUGAUAAUCUUAAUGAAAAAAUAGGUGUUUAAUACAUCAGACUAAAAUAGCAGACUAAAUCAGACUAAAAUAGCAGAACCAUAUUAUAUAACCUUGUUGCACUGACAUUCUAAUAAUUAAUUAUUUCAGGGUCCAAUUGAAGUCAUUAGGGUUGCUUGAGGAAUAAGGUAUUACUUGGCAUAUGAUUAAUCUGCUGAACAGUAAUAGGUCAGUGUGGCAACUGUGCUUUUGAUGGGAUAUACAAACCCCACACAGGCAACAAGAGGUUAAGGAGCUGCUCUGGGCUCAGCCUUCCCCACCCUGCCACACCUGCAAGAGAUGCACAGACUGGGGGAGGAGUUAAAAGAGAAGCAGAACAGCUCACUGGUGAGCAGACCAGGGAAGAGAGUAGACUAUUAACUUGCAAGUCCUGAGGAAACAGCUGAGGAAAAGUAGGGACCUUCCCAACAGCAACUGCCUGAAGGUCUUUCUCUGAUAGAACAGAGGACCUGAUUCUGAUAGCCUCUGAGACAGAAGCAUUUCCACCUCUCUCAUACUAACUCAGUUUGUUUGUGUUAAAUCCCCUUGGUUUUGUUUAUGGACUACCCUGCAAGGGGAGAGAUUUGGAAGUGACCUGGCUGGAGGACCAAGUCACAGGAGAAGAAAUAAUAGAAGAAUGGGAGACAGAGGAGGCAGUACCCAAAUCAAGGUUGAGCAACACAGGAAACAGAAUGCCACAUAUUUAUUGCAUGCUGUUUCUUGAUAGAUAUAUGCAAAACUACCCCCUUCACCACAGCAUGGGCCGGAAAGGAGGACUUACUCAACAAAAGUACAGAUCUUUCCCUCCUGACCCACACCCAUUGAGAGAUCUCAUGAACUGAGAUUGCUGCUAAGUGGACUCUCAGAGAACUUUAAAGAAAGAUUCAAUGAUUUCAGAUGUACCAUACUCUAAAAUGUCCUGAAUCUUAGCAUCUGUGGCAGUUAUACCCCAGUGGCUGAAACAGAUUGAAAAAUGCUUCCACUUGGCUAAAUAAGCAGAUGUAGUGGUAUGCUGUCUGCUGUUCAGUAAAAUAUUUUGAACUGCCAAAGAACAAUGUUUCUCUAUUUCAUCAAGUCACUCAAUAGCCAAGGUGUAAGGUGCAGGCUGUUCAGGUCUGGGUGUAAUAAUUGACCGUGGUGUUGAGACAGUAGAUCUGGAAGUGUAGGCAGAGUCCAAGGAGGCCAAAUGGAGAGGCUGUGAAGAUCCAAGAACCAGCACUGUCUCAACCAUGCUGGGGGUUAUGAGAAUUAUUCUGGCAUGGGCUUGUUUUGAUAUGAGGAUCACCUGUGGGAUGAGGUGAGUGGAAAGGAAUGCAUACAUGAGGUAUGGUCCCCACCAAAGAAGAAAAGCAUCAGUCAACGAGCUUGGGCUGUGACCUGCUUGAAAGCAAAAUUGACAGCAUUUUCUGUUGUCAUUCAUUGCAAAUAGGUCAACCAACAGGAUUCCCCAGGCACAGAAGAUGGUUCUGAGCACACUGCACUUCAGAGACCACUUGUGAUCAUGAAAAAAUCUGCUGAGAUAUUGGCCAACAGUUUCUGGGAGCCCUAUGCUCGGACAGACUAAUGUAUUGGAUGUUGUGGAGAACCAGUUGUUUGGAUCUGCCUCAAAUUAACCAACCAUCCAGAUAUGGAAAGACAUGGAUCCUGUUUCUCCUCAGAUAGGCUGCCAUUUCUGUCAUGCAUUUUGUGAAUACUUACAGAGCCAACAACAGGCCAAAGGGAAGUACUGUGUACUGAUUAUGCAGCUUGCUAUCACAAAUCUUGAAAACGUCUUGUGACUUGGCAAAACUGCCACAUGGAAGUAGACAUCCUGCAAAUCGAGGGCACCAAACCAGUCGGUACAAUCUUGGGAAGGACUAAUCAGUGCUAGAAACAAUAUGCCAUUACGCUAUAAGAAGCAUCAGCUACAUCAACGUAGACUGUAGUGAGAUCUUGGCCAUUGUGUGGCCUUCUGCAAGAAAAACCUUUUAUUCCGCCCAUGACUCUUCAGGUAACUUUUCAGUAAUUUUGGACACCGCAAGCCAGCGCACAAAGCCAUAUUUAGCUAAAAGCACCUGGUGAAUCACUAUGCACAUUUGGAGAGAGGAGGCUGAAUACAUUUUUCUACCAAAUAAAUCAAGUCUCUUGGCUCUUUCUCUUUA
Chelonia mydas (Green sea turtle) is the source of this 3682-nucleotide long non-coding RNA. RefSeq lists it as uncharacterized. Lineage: Eukaryota; Metazoa; Chordata; Testudines; Cheloniidae. The record is from RefSeq and is a predicted model, not a curated record. The transcript is spliced from 6 exons.